RNAcentral lists this transfer RNA (76 nucleotides) under Candidatus Riesia sp. RNAcentral's name for it is "tRNA-Asp". It matches the Rfam family "tRNA". Rfam says of the family: Transfer RNA (tRNA) molecules are approximately 80 nucleotides in length. Lineage: Bacteria; Pseudomonadati; Pseudomonadota; Gammaproteobacteria; Enterobacterales; Enterobacteriaceae. The record is from RNAcentral.
GGUGGGUUAGUGUAACGGCCAACACACUUCCCUGUCACGGAAGAGAUUGCGGGUUCGAAUCCCGUACCUGCCGCCA